UGAGUGCGAGCUGCUACGGCAGCGAAGUGGGUGACGUCAAGCUUCCAAGAAAAGCCCUAUACCCGUUAAGGCAUGAUUGCCUGUGCCCGAAACCGACACAGGUGGGGUGGUAGAGAAUACCGAGGGGCGCGAGGUAACUCUCUCUAAGGAACUCGGCAAAAUGGCCCCGUAACUUCGGGAGAAGGGGUGCCACCGCAAGGUGGUCGCAGUGAAGAGGCCCAGGCGACUGUUUACCAAAAACACAGGUCUCCGCUAAGUCGCAAGACGAUGUAUGGGGGCUGACGCCUGCCCAGUGCCGGAAGGUUAAGGAAGCUGGUCAGCGUAAGCGAAGCUGGCGACUGAAGCCCCGGUGAACGGCGGCCGUAACAAUAACGGUCCUAAGGUAGCGAAAUUCCUUGUCGGGUAAGUUCCGACCCGCACGAAAGGCGUAACGAUCUGGGCGCUGUCUCGGAGAGAGGCUCGGCGAAAUAGAAUUGUCUGUGAAGAUGCGGACUACGUGCACCCGGACAGAAAGACCCUAUGAAGCUUUACUGUAGCUUGGUAUUGUGCCCGGGCUCGCAAUGCGCAGGAUAGGUGGGAGGCUUUGAUCAUCGGCUUGCGGGUCGAUGUGAGCCACUGGUGAGAUACCACUCUUUGCGAGCUAGGGUUCUAACGGCCACCCGUGAUCCGGGGGCCGGACAGUAUCAGGUGGGCAGUUUGACUGGGGCGGUCGCCUCCUAAAAGGUAGCGGAGGCGCGCAAAGGUUCCCUCAGGCUGGUUGGAAAUCAGCCGACGAGUGUAAAGGCAGAAGGGAGCUUGACUGUGAGACCUACAAGUCGAGCAGGGACGAAAGUCGGCCUUAGUGAUCCGACGGUUCUGAGUGGAAGGGCCGUCGCUCAACGGAUAAAAGUUACUCUAGGAUAACAGGCUGAUCUCCCCCAAGAGUUCACAUCGACGGGGAGGUUUGGCACCUCGAUGUCGGCUCAUCGCAACCUGGGGCUGAAGUCGGUCCCAAGGGUUGGGCUGUUCGCCCAUUAAAGCGGUACGCGAGCUGGGUUCAGAACGUCGUGAGACAGUUCGGUCCAUAUCCGGUGCAUGCGCAGGAAUAUUGAGAGGAGUUCUCCCUAGUACGAGAGGACCGGGAGGAACGCACCUCUGGUGUACCAGUUAUCGUGCCAACGGUAAACGCUGGGUAGCCAUGUGCGGAGAGGAUAACCGCUGAAAGCAUCUAAGUGGGAAGCCCACCUCAAGAUGAGUAUUCCCAUGGCAUAAGCCAGUAAGGUCACGGGAAGAACACCCGUUGAUAGGCUCUACGUGGAAGCGCAGUAAUGCGUGAAGCGGAGGAGUACUAAUAGACC
This 1337-nucleotide ribosomal RNA is filed under the name metagenome. RNAcentral's name for it is "bacterial LSU rRNA". It matches the Rfam family "Bacterial large subunit ribosomal RNA", at positions 1564 to 2910 of the family's 2925-position model. The record is from RNAcentral.